AAUCAACGCUGGCGGCGUGCCUAACACAUGCAAGUCGAACGCGAAAGCCCCGCAAGGGGUUAGUAGAGUGGCAAACGGGUGAGUAACACGUGGGUGACCUGCCUUCGAGUGGGGGAUAACGUCCCGAAAGGGACGCUAAUACCGCAUAACAUCCUGCCUUUUAAGAGGUGGACAUCAAAGCUGGGGAUCGCAAGACCUAGCGCUUGAAGAGGGGCCCGCGCCUGAUUAGCUAGUUGGGGGGUAAUGGCUCACCAAGGCAACGAUCAGUAUCCGGCCUGAGAGGGCGGACGGACACACUGGGACUGAGACACGGCCCAGACUCC
Molecule: ribosomal RNA, 323 nt
Filed under: uncultured bacterium
Lineage: Bacteria
Description: bacterial SSU rRNA
Rfam family: Bacterial small subunit ribosomal RNA
Source: RNAcentral